CCUACGGGAGGCAGCAGUAGGGAAUCUUUCACAAUGGGCGAAACCCUGAUGGAGCGACGCCGCGUGCGUGAAGAAGGCCUUCGGGUUGUAAACUGCUUUUAUAAGGGAGAAAUAUGAUGGUAACUUAUUAAUAAGGAUCGGCUAACUACGUGCCAGCAGCCGCGGUCAUACGUAGGAUCCGAGCAUUAUCCGGAUUUACUGGGUGUAAAGAGUUGGGUAGGUGGGGUGAUAAUCAGCUGUUGAAAUCUGGGGGGUGAACCAUUCAGACUAUUAGCGAAACUGUAAAGCGAGAGACCGGUAGGGGUAACUGGAAUUUCUAGUGUAGGAGUGAAAUGCGUAGAUAUUAGGAGGAACACCAGUAGCGUAGGCAGGUUACUGGACCGGUACUGACGCUGAGGCACGAAAGCGUAGGGAGCAAACGGGAUUAGAUACCCUUGUAGUC
RNAcentral lists this ribosomal RNA (442 nucleotides) under uncultured bacterium. Its description in RNAcentral is "partial 16S ribosomal RNA". It matches the Rfam family "Bacterial small subunit ribosomal RNA", at positions 338 to 795 of the family's 1533-position model. The record is from RNAcentral.